GUCAAAGUGAAAUUUCUCGAAAGCCCAAGUUAAUUACACAUACUACUGACCAGACCUGAUAAAAAAUGAAUGAGAGUGGAAGUAGGCGAGGAUAAAAAACAACCAAGAUAAAGGACGUUAAUGGCACAGCAAGACAUGCGGAAACAACGCUCCAAGUAGCUUGACUUGUUGACUCGGUUACUUUUGUUGGUGUGGAGUUGUAAGCAACAUGAAGAAAACCAGGAAUUCAAGGAUUACCCGGAUAAAAAAGAAAAUGUGCAACUCAAGUAUAGACAUAAUUAGUCAUCUUCCAGGCAAUGUACUAGAAAAAAUCUUAAUGUGUUUGCCUAUACAAGAUGCAGUGAGGACAAGUAUUUUGUCAAGGAAAUGGAGAUAUGUAUGGGUGAAACUUCCUCAACUGGUAUUUGAUGAUUUGUUCUACAGACAUUUUCACAAAACACCGCAUGAUAAACUUUUGAUGAUUAUUUAUCAAGUUAUGUUACUUCACCGUGGACCAAUAAUCAAGUUCGCACUCUGUGUAUCUGGUCUGCAAAGUUGUUCUGAGAUCGACAAUUUGAUACUUGUUGUUUCAAACAAUGAUAUCCAGGACUUCACCAUUCGCAUUUGGAAGGGGGAACCUUAUAAGUUGCCAUCAUCGCUAUAUACGUGUUCGCUACUGAAGCAUUUGAAUAUCCGUUCUUGUAUUCUUAAACCUCCUCCUGGAUUUGAAGGAUUUAACAGGCUUCUUUCCCUCUAUCUUUAUGAUGUUGUCAUUGCUGAAGAUGUGCUUUCACAUCUGAUCUCUAGUUGCCCACUACUUGAAGACCUGACCCUUCAGAGUUCCACCAGUUUAGAUUCCCUUGAAGUUGUUGGUCCUAAUCUUAAAUCCGUGUGCUGUGAGGGCCAUUUCAGAUCUAUUUGUUUUUCGAAUACUUCUCAUCUUGCGAACGUCUCAAUAUAUUUGCAAGGAUCGAGAAAUAAGCUAUUCUUAAGCGAAGGAGAAAUAUCUAGCUCUGUCGUGCUUCUUGGCAGUGUACCUGUCAUUGAGUUUCUGGAAUUGGACUUCUGCAUUGUUAAGGGCAUAGCUGCAUGUGGUGUACCAACGAGUCUUCCAACUACUCUGUACAACCUGAAAAAUAUCAUUGUGUAUGAUAUUUGUUUAGGGGAACGAGAUGAGGUCUCCGUUCUUAUAUGCUUAAUUAGAAGCUCCCCGAUUUUGGAAGAGAUUACUAUUUAUGCAUUUCCCGGUCCGACAUCUGCUAUUCGUGCUGUUUUAGAUUUUUCGGAAGUGCAUGGCUGUUCGGAUGUCUCUUUGAAUCAACUUCGCAAAGUGGAUAUGAACAAUGUCUCUGGCACGAAACCUGAAUUGGAGUUUAUUGAGCUUUUGUUAGCAAAAUCACCGAUGCUGGAGGUGAUGCUUAUCGAGCUGAACGCACAGAAUAUUGCUGAUCAUUUGCGAAUUGUGAAAGAAUUGACUGGAUUUCGACGUGCAUCACCUCAAGCAGAAAUGAAAUUCGUAGAUCAAGAUGAAGAUUAAAGUCUAACUGUCGCAUUGUGUCUUUUUUGAGCAGGAAAGUACAUUGCUAGUUAUGGCUGAGGUUGGGGACAGGAAUACUUGUUAUUUCCAUGUGGCAGACACUCUGAAAUCAAGGAAAAAGAAGAUUGCAUUUCUUGUUUGCAAUGAUGCAAGAUGUAUCACUGAUCCCAAAGGGAUUAGGGAUGAGGUUCUGAACCACUUCAUGGGAAUUUUUAAAGCUCAAGGGUGGACAGAUUUGCUGGAUCCAAAGGCAGUGGAUGAUUACCCCAGUAACUUCAAUAUUUUGUAUGCCAUUCAGUGUCAGCUUACAGAGGAGCAACUAAUGCAGCUGAGAUCAACCAUUCAACCUCUUGUCAAGCAUCUUUUAUUGGCAAUGGGCAAUGGGCUCUCUACUCUCUUAUCGUGGGAUAAUUGGCACCCUAGUGGACCUCUACAUGUCCUUUCACCAGGUUUUGGGUAGGUCUCAGGUGGCAAAAGUAAGUUCCACUAUUGCUAAUGGAAGGUGGAAAUGGCCCAGCCCAGUCCUAGGAGUUUGGUUACGCAAGGAAUUGUUGCUCCAACCUUUAUGGAUUUCUUACCUAAUCCCACCUGCUUAGACUCAGUUAUCUGGACUUUGCAUCCCAGUAUUGUUUACUCUACUUCAUCUGCUUGGCAAGCUCUUAGAACCAAGGCCUCUCCUGCUCCUUGGAGUAGAGUUAUCUGGUUCCAUAUACAUGUACCUCGAUGGGCUAUAAUUGAAUGGAUGGCCACCUUAGGUCGGUUAUCCAUUAAGCACAGGUUACUAAGUCGGGGGAUUGCUACAAAUGACCUCUGUGCUCUCUGUGGUACUGGUCAGGAAUCCCACGGUUACCUCUUUUUGGCUUGCACCUUCUCCACUUGUGUUUGGUCUCAUUUCUUGUGCGAGAAUGAUGUUUCUACACCUCUCCUUAACCUUCAAGGAGAAUUGAACUGGGCAAAGCUUCACAGGGGUUCUUCCAGCUUUCAGCACAUUGUUUUCAAACUUUCCUUGGCUGCUUUCAUUUAUGGAUUGUGGUGUGAAAGAAACAGAAGGAUCUUCAGAGCUUUGAGCUUGACUACUGGGGAGCAUGGUGCUAAAGUUGAAUCUGAUUUGAGGGUAUGUAUCUCUUCUUGGAGCUGGAUCAUCCUUUUUUGGCCGAAAAAUAAAGCGGCUUUCUUUCAAAUUGAUGGGGAUAAAGCACCCGGGCGAGAUGGUGUUCCAGCUUCUUUUUUUGCGAGCAUCAUUGGGAGGUGGUUCAGGGGGACCUUAUUCAUUUUGUGCUCUCAGCUCCCAACUCUGGUUGUCUUCUUCGAGAGGUAAAUAAAACGUUCAUUGCUCUUAUUCCUACGGAAGGUCUCCUCUGUCUUUGUAAUUAGCGUGCAAAGUGGUAGCCAAAGUGUUGGCUUUCUCUGAUUGAUUAGUCCCAAAAUGCCUUUAUUUCUGGGCAUGUUAUUUCACAUCCUCUUUCUCAAUUCCCCUUCUCUUCAAUGUGUGAGAAAUAUGUGAGUCCAAAAGUUGGAAGUAGCUGGUAUGUGCACACGUCCACAUUUCCUAUACUAUUCGUUUUGCGUUAUUGUUUUGAUUUC
This is an RNA transcript of Rhododendron vialii, 3100 nucleotides long. It is a transcript of the gene named F-box/FBD/LRR-repeat protein At1g13570-like, with no coding region annotated. The transcript is spliced from 6 exons. The record is from RefSeq and is a predicted model, not a curated record. Lineage: Eukaryota; Viridiplantae; Streptophyta; Magnoliopsida; Ericales; Ericaceae.